RNAcentral lists this long non-coding RNA (348 nucleotides) under Lathyrus oleraceus (garden pea). RNAcentral describes it as "Pisum sativum (pea) long non-coding RNA (PSAT_LNC005439)". Lineage: Eukaryota; Viridiplantae; Streptophyta; Magnoliopsida; Fabales; Fabaceae. The record is from RNAcentral.
AACCACUACCUUACCCGUUUCUGAAGCAGAAAUGCUGAAUGAAACCACCUCACCGUCUUCUUCUACACCUUCAUCCCCACCAUACUACAUUCUCUCAUCAGACACUGUACCCUCUGACCCCCAAUCCCCCAAACUAGCCCAACUUCAGGCGCAUGCUUUUGCCUCACAAUAACCACCACAACCUGAACCAGAAGCCACCUCUCCAUCCUCUGAACAACAAAAUCCACCACCAUCUGAACAACCUCAAACACCACCUCCUGAACAACCAACAAAAAAAUCACCUUAUGAACAACCAGCAACUCCACCCUCUGAACAACAACCCACACCACCACCUUCACAAAUAACAAC